CAAAAUACCAAACACACGAUAUAUUGUCUUUUCUCCCUAUCUGAAGAGGUUUUACUCCAUAAAGAAUCUAGGUUGAGGAAUAUUGAGUUUUGGUUGAAAUUGAGAAAGUUGAAAUAGUCUUUUGGAAUUGUAAAGGAAGAGUGAGUUCAAGAUUAUAUAUAUGAUUCUAAUUUUUCAUUACAAUUCACACUAGUCAGAAAUACUUAAGCUUGUAUCUAAUAUUUUCUUUUCUCUUCUACUCUUAUGAUAGAGAGUAUUGUGAGAUGUAGUUUAAAUAUUUGUUUUGAAGAAUGUGAAUGUACUAGAGACUAUGAGGAGUUUGAGAAAAGUCUAAGUAUAGUAACAAUUUUCACAUAGUGUUGUUCUUAAGUUAUAUCAUUAGACAACGGUAGUAGUUUUUAUCAGAUUUUGGAGUUUUCAGUGUUUGAUUAUAUUAUUUAAAUUUCUUUGUUUGUUUAUUUAUUUUCCUAACAAGGAAGACCCACAUGACAAUGAGUGCUCACCAUCUACCAAUCUUUUCACGAUGCUUAGAAGCUAUUCAAGAACGUCGUGGAAACACUAUCGUCACAUAAAUCUAAGUAUUUAUAAAAUCUUUAAUAUAUCAAACAUAUUAUAGAUCUUAAAACAUGCAUGCUCAUAUGUUUAUUCGGUUUCUGUACUAAAGUAUGAAUAUAUGCUUAAUUUUAAUAUCGAUGUCUUUGAUAUAUGACUAAAUUAAUUCCAUCAAGUAGUAUCAAAGUGGGUCUUCAUGAUUAGUUUAUUGGGAUAAUAUUAUAAUUUGUGCAUAAGAUCAAUUAUCUAGUGUAAGGUUCAUGGGUCCUGUUUUUUAUUUUUUAUGAACCCUAUAUUACUAAAUUAGAGAUC
This 864-nucleotide long non-coding RNA is filed under the name Cicer arietinum (chickpea). RNAcentral describes it as "long non-coding RNA (CARI_LNC003650)". Lineage: Eukaryota; Viridiplantae; Streptophyta; Magnoliopsida; Fabales; Fabaceae. The record is from RNAcentral.